UGCUAACGUCCGUCGUGGAGAGGGAAACAACCCAGACCGCCAGCUAAGGUCCCAAAUUACUACUAAGUGGGAAACGAUGUGGGAAGGCUCAGACAGCCAGGAUGUUGGCUUAGAAGCAGCCAUCAUUAAAGAAAGCGUAAUAGCUCACUGGUCGAGUCGGCCUGCGCGGAAGAUGUAACGGGGCUAAGUAGUAAACCGAAGCUGCGGCAAUA
RNAcentral lists this ribosomal RNA (212 nucleotides) under Vibrio parahaemolyticus. RNAcentral's name for it is "partial 23S ribosomal RNA". It matches the Rfam family "Bacterial large subunit ribosomal RNA", at positions 996 to 1210 of the family's 2925-position model. Lineage: Bacteria; Pseudomonadati; Pseudomonadota; Gammaproteobacteria; Vibrionales; Vibrionaceae. The record is from RNAcentral.